Molecule: ribosomal RNA, 253 nt
Filed under: uncultured archaeon
Lineage: Archaea
Description: partial 16S ribosomal RNA
Rfam family: Archaeal small subunit ribosomal RNA
Source: RNAcentral
UACCCGCAGCUCGAGUGGUGAUCGCGUCUCUUGAGCCUAAACCGUUCCUAGUCGGCCAUGUAAAUCCCUGCGUAAAUUGGGCCGCUUAACGGUACAAAUUCCGGGGGGACUGCAAGGCUAGGGACCGGGCGAGGUCAGAGGUACUUUCGGGGUAGGAGUGAAAUCCUGUAAUCCCGAAGGGACCACCUGUGGCGAAAGCGUCUGACUUGAACGGCUACGACGAUGAGGAACGAAGGCUAGGGGAGCAGACAGG